Molecule: ribosomal RNA, 405 nt
Filed under: uncultured bacterium
Lineage: Bacteria
Description: bacterial SSU rRNA
Rfam family: Bacterial small subunit ribosomal RNA
Source: RNAcentral
AUUGAACGCUGGCGGCAUGCCUUACACAUGCAAGUCGAACGGCAGCACGGGAGCAAUCCUGGUGGCGAGUGGCGAACGGGUGAGUAAUAUAUCGGAACGUGCCCAGUCGUGGGGAUAACGUAGCGAAAGCUACGCUAAUACCGCAUACGAUCUAUGGAUGAAAGCGGGGGAUCGCAAGACCUCGCGCGAUUGGAGCGGCCGAUAUCAGAUUAGGUAGUUGGUGAGGUAAAGGCUCGCCAAGCCGACGAUCUGUAGCUGGUCUGAGAGGACGACCAGCCACACUGGGACUGAGACACGGCCCAGACUCCUACGGGAGGCAGCAGUGGGGAAUUUUGGACAAUGGGCGCAAGCCCUGAUCCAGCAAUGCCGCGUGCAGGAUGAAGGCCUUCGGUUGGUAAACUUAGC